RNAcentral lists this ribosomal RNA (450 nucleotides) under uncultured prokaryote. RNAcentral describes it as "bacterial SSU rRNA". It matches the Rfam family "Bacterial small subunit ribosomal RNA", at positions 355 to 796 of the family's 1533-position model. The record is from RNAcentral.
UGGGGAAUCUUGCGCAAUGGGAGCAAUCCUGACGCAGCGACGCCGCGUGCGGGAGGACGGUCUUCGGACUGUAAACCGUUGUCGGCGGGGACGAACACCUGGGAGAGGCAAUGCUUUUGGGCUGACGGUACCCGCAGAGGAAGCGCCGGCUAACUCCGUGCCAGCAGCCGCGGUAACACGGAGGGCGCGAGCGUUGUUCGGAAUCAUUGGGCGUAAAGGGCGCGCAGGCGGCUUGGGUAAGCCAGAUGUGAAAGCCCGGGGCUCAACCCCGGGAGGCCAUUUGGGACUGCUGGGCUGGAGAGAUGCAGGGGCGGGCGGAAUUCCGGGUGUAGCGGUGGAAUGCGUAGAGAUCCGGAAGAACACCAGAGGCGAAGGCGGCCCGCUGGGCAUUUUCUGACGCUGAGGCGCGAAGGCGUGGGGAGCGAACAGGAUUAGAUACCCCUGUAGUCC